GGCUUCUGAUUAUUUUGCCCUUUCUCCAAUGCUCCUAUCAAAGCAUUGGUCAUGACUAGGUCAUUAGUUCAACACCCGUCCUCCCAGGAACGGGGUGAGGGUGCCAAACCUAAGUAGCGCUACUAACUAAUACCCGAUGAGGGACUUACAAAAGAUGAUAGGUGAGAAUAUUAACCAAUAUACCCGUUUUUACCCAAAGACUUAUCC
RNAcentral lists this long non-coding RNA (207 nucleotides) under Helianthus annuus (common sunflower). RNAcentral's name for it is "sRNA HanXRQr2_Chr10g0423391". Lineage: Eukaryota; Viridiplantae; Streptophyta; Magnoliopsida; Asterales; Asteraceae. The record is from RNAcentral.